ACUAAGCGUACACGGUGGAUGCCCUGGCAGUCAGAGGCGAUGAAGGACGUGCUAAUCUGCGAUAAGCGCCGGUAAGGUGAUAUGAACCGUUAUAACCGGCGAUUUCCGAAUGGGGAAACCCAGUGUGAUUCGUCACACUAUCAUUAACUGAAUCCAUAGGUUAAUGAGGCGAACCGGGGGAACUGAAACAUCUAAGUACCCCGAGGAAAAGAAAUCAACCGAGAUUCCCCCAGUAGCGGCGAGCGAACGGGGAGGAGCCCAGAGCCUGAAUCAGCAUGUGUGUUAGUGGAAGCGUCUGGAAAGGCGCGCGAUACAGGGUGACAGCCCCGUACACAAAAGCGCAUGUGUUGUGAGCUCGAUGAGUAGGGCGGGACACGUGGUAUCCUGUCUGAAUAUGGGGGGACCAUCCUCCAAGGCUAAAUACUCCUGACUGACCGAUAGUGAACCAGUACCGUGAGGGAAAGGCGAAAAGAACCCCGGCGAGGGGAGUGAAAAAGAACCUGAAACCGUGUACGUACAAGCAGUGGGAGCNUGAGGGAAAGGCGAAAAGAACCCCGGCGAGGGGAGUGAAAAAGAACCUGAAACCGUGUACGUACAAGCAGUGGGAGCCCCACCACUAAGCCAGUGGUGAACUCCACAUACGCAUCCUUUGCUGAGGAUACGGUUAACGGAGCGCAAGCGACGUUCAACCGCAAAAGAAGCAGAGGGGGCUUAGUGGUGGGGUGACUGCGUACCUUUUGUAUAAUGGGUCAGCGACUUAUAUUCUGUAGCAAGGUUAACCGUAUAGGGGAGCCGGAGGGAAACCGAGUCUUAAUUGGGCGUUAAGUUGCAGGGUAUAGACCCGAAACCCGGUGAUCUAGCCAUGGGCAGGUUNGGGCGUUAAGUUGCAGGGUAUAGACCCGAAACCCGGUGAUCUAGCCAUGGGCAGGUUGAAGGUUGGGUAACACUAACUGGAGGACCGAACCGACUAAUGUUGAAAAAUUAGCGGAUGACCUGUGGCUGGGGGUGAAAGGCCAAUCAAACCGGGAGAUAGCUGGUUCUCCCCGAAAGCUAUUUAGGUAGCGCCUCGUGAAUUCAUCUCCGGGGGUAGAGCACUGUUUCGGCUAGGGGGCCAUCCCGGCUUACCAACCCGAUGCAAACUGCGAAUACCGGAGAAUGUUAUCACGGGAGACACACGGCGGGUGCUAACGUCCGUCGUGAAGAGGGAAACAACCCAGACCGCCAGCUAAGGUCCCAAAGUCAUGGUUAAGUGGGAAACGAUGUGGGAAGGCCCAGACAGCCAGGAUGUUGGCUUAGAAGCAGCCAUCAUUUAAAGAAAGCGUAAUAGCUCACUGGUCGAGUCGGCCUGCGCGGAAGAUGUAACGGGGCUAAACCAUGCACCGAAGCUGCGGCAGCGAGUAAUAGCUCACUGGUCGAGUCGGCCUGCGCGGAAGAUGUAACGGGGCUAAACCAUGCACCGAAGCUGCGGCAGCGAACGUAUCACUUAAAGCGAUUCAGCGGGUUACGAUUGACGGAGCGAAGCGACGUCAAAGCGUAUACAAAGUCGAGUCGGUUUAAGGAUACGUUCGUUGGGUAGGGGAGCGUUCUGUAAGCCUGUGAAGGUGGCCUGUGAGGGUUGCUGGAGGUAUCAGAAGUGCGAAUGCUNGUUGGGUAGGGGAGCGUUCUGUAAGCCUGUGAAGGUGGCCUGUGAGGGUUGCUGGAGGUAUCAGAAGUGCGAAUGCUGACAUAAGUAACGAUAAAGCGGGUGAAAAGCCCGCUCGCCGGAAGACCAAGGGUUCCUGUCCAACGUUAAUCGGGGCAGGGUGAGUCGACCCCUAAGGCGAGGCCGAAAGGCGUAGUCGAUGGGAAACGGGUUAAUAUUCCCGUACUUGGUGUUACUGCGAAGGGGGGACGGAGAAGGCUAUGUUGGCCGGGCGACGGUUGUCCCGGUUUAAGCGUGUAGGUGUGUGUUCCAGGUAAAUCCGGUUCACUUUAACACUGAGGCGUGAUGACGAGGCACUACGGUGCUGAAGCAACAAAUGCCCUGCUUCCAGGAAAAGCCUCUAAGCAUCAGGUAACAUCAAAUCGUACCCCAAACCGACACAGGUGGUCAGGUAGAGAAUACCAAGGCGCUUGAGAGAACUCGGGUGAAGGAACUAGGCAAAAUGGUGCCGUAACUUCGGGAGAAGGCACGCUGACAUGUAGGUGAAGUGAUUUACUCAUGGAGCUGAAGUCAGUCGAAGAUACCAGCUGGCUGCAACUGUUUAUUAAAAACACAGCACUGUGCAAACACGAAAGUGGACGUAUACGGUGUGACGCCUGCCCGGUGCCGGAAGGUUAAUUGAUGGGGUCAGCGCAAGCGAAGCUCCUGAUCGAAGCCCCGGUAAACGGCGGCCGUAACUAUAACGGUCCUAAGGUAGCGAAAUUCCUUGUCGGGUAAGUUCCGACCUGCACGAAUGGCGUAAUGAUGGCCAGGCUGUCUCCACCCGAGACUCAGUGAAAUUGAACUCGCUGUGAAGAUGCAGUGUACCCGCGGCAAGACGGAAAGACCCCGUGAACCUUUACUAUAGCUUGACACUGAACAUUGAGCCUUGAUGUGUAGGAUAGGUGGGAGGCUUUGAAGUGUGGACGCCAGUCUGCAUGGAGCCGACCUUGAAAUACCACCCUUUAAUGUUUGAUGUUCUAACGUGGACCCGUAAUCCGGGUUGCGGACAGUGUCUGGUGGGUAGUUUGACUGGGGCGGUCUCCUCCUAAAGAGUAACGGAGGAGCACGAAGGUUGGCUAAUCCUGGUCGGACAUCAGGAGGUUAGUGCAAUGGCAUAAGCCAGCUUGACUGCGAGCGUGACGGCGCGAGCAGGUGCGAAAGCAGGUCAUAGUGAUCCGGUGGUUCUGAAUGGAAGGGCCAUCGCUCAACGGAUAAAAGGUACUCCGGGGAUAACAGGCUGAUACCGCCCAAGAGUUCAUAUCGACGGCGGUGUUUGGCACCUCGAUGUCGGCUCAUCACAUCCUGGGGCUGAAGUAGGUCCCAAGGGUAUGGCUGUUCGCCAUUUAAAGUGGUACGCGAGCUGGGUUUAGAACGUCGUGAGACAGUUCGGUCCCUAUCUGCCGUGGGCGCUGGAGAACUGAGGGGGGCUGCUCCUAGUACGAGAGGACCGGAGUGGACGCAUCACUGGUGUUCGGGUUGUCAUGCCAAUGGCACUGCCCGGUAGCUAAAUGCGGAAGAGAUAAGUGCUGAAAGCAUCUAAGCACGAAACUUGCCCCGAGAUGAGUUCUCCCUGAGACUUAAAGUCUCCUGAAGGAACGUUGAAGACGACGACGUUGAUAGGCCGGGUGUGUAAGCGCAGCGAUGCGUUGAGCUAACCGGUACUAAUGAACCGUGAGGCUUAACC
RNAcentral lists this ribosomal RNA (3368 nucleotides) under Salmonella enterica subsp. enterica serovar Derby. RNAcentral's name for it is "bacterial LSU rRNA". It matches the Rfam family "Bacterial large subunit ribosomal RNA". Lineage: Bacteria; Pseudomonadati; Pseudomonadota; Gammaproteobacteria; Enterobacterales; Enterobacteriaceae. The record is from RNAcentral.